CCUACGGGAGGCAGCAGUGGGGAAUAUUGCACAAUGGGGGAAACCCUGAUGCAGCGACGCCGCGUGAGUGAAGAAGUAAUUCGUUAUGUAAAGCUCUAUCAGCAGGGAAGAAAAUGACGGUACCUGAGUAAGAAGCCCCGGCUAACUACGUGCCAGCAGCCGCGGUAAUACGUAGGGGGCCAGCGUUAUCCGGAUUUACUGGGUGUAAAGGGAGCGUAGACGGCAGUGCAAGUCUGGAGUGAAAGGGGGGGGCUCAACCCCCGGACUGCUCUUGAAACUGUACGGCUGGAGUGCAGGAGAGGUAAGUGGAAUUCCUAGUGUAGCGGUGAAAUGCGUAGAUAUUAGGAGGAACACCAGUGGCGAAGGCGGCUUACUGGACUGUAACUGACGUUGAGGCUCGAAAGCGUGGGGAGCAAACAGGAUUAGAUACCCCUGUAGUC
RNAcentral lists this ribosomal RNA (440 nucleotides) under uncultured bacterium. Its description in RNAcentral is "partial 16S ribosomal RNA". It matches the Rfam family "Bacterial small subunit ribosomal RNA", at positions 338 to 795 of the family's 1533-position model. The record is from RNAcentral.